Molecule: ribosomal RNA, 253 nt
Filed under: uncultured bacterium
Lineage: Bacteria
Description: partial 16S ribosomal RNA
Rfam family: Bacterial small subunit ribosomal RNA
Source: RNAcentral
GACGAACCGUGCAAACGUUGUUCGGAAUCACUGGGCGUAAAGGGCGCGUAGGCGGCACCGCGCGUCCGGGGUGAAAUCCUCCCGCUUAACGGGAGAACGGCCUCGGAUACGGCGGUGCUCGAGGGGAAUAGGGGCGAGCGGAACAGCCGGUGGAGCGGUGAAAUGCGUUGAGAUCGGCUGGAACUCCGGUGGCGAAGGCGGCUCGCUGGGUUCUCACUGACGCUGAGGCGCGAAAGCCAGGGGAGCGAACGGG